Molecule: ribosomal RNA, 455 nt
Filed under: uncultured Flavobacteriaceae bacterium
Lineage: Bacteria; Pseudomonadati; Bacteroidota; Flavobacteriia; Flavobacteriales; Flavobacteriaceae
Description: bacterial SSU rRNA
Rfam family: Bacterial small subunit ribosomal RNA
Source: RNAcentral
GGCCUUAUACUGCAAGUCGAACGGUAACAUUGGUGCUUGCACCAGAUGACGAGUGGCGCACGGGUGCGUAACGCGUAUGCAACCUACCUUUUACUAGAGUAUAGCCCAGAGAAAUUUGGAUUAAUCCUCUAUAACAUCUUAUAAUUUCAUGAUUAUUAGAUUAAAGUUUUAAUGGUAAAAGAUGGGCAUGCGUCCUAUUAGUUUGUAGGUGAGGUAACGGCUCACCUAGACUACGAUAGGUAGGGGCCCUGAGAGGGGGAUCCCCCACACUGGUACUGAGACACGGACCAGACUCCUACGGGAGGCAGCAGUAAGGAAUAUUGGACAAUGGACGAAAGUCUGAUCCAGCCAUGCCGCGUGCAGGAUGAAAGCCCUAUGGGUUGUAAACUGCUUUUAUACAGGAAGAAAAACUCCGACGUGUCGGAGCUUGACGGUACUGUAAGAAUAAGGAUCGG